UUAAUGAUUUUUUAUUUUCUCCAUUAUAGUUCAUUUACAGUGUUCUGUCAAUUUCUACUGACAGCAAAGUGACCCAGUCACACAUAUGUAUAUAUACAUUCUUUUUCUCACAUUAUCCUCCAUCAUGCUCCAUCAUAAGUGACUAGAUGUAUUUCCCAGUGCUAUACAGCAGGAUCUCCUCGCUAACUGACUCCAAAUGCAAUAGUUUGCAUAUAUUAACCCCAGACUCCCAGUCCAUCCCACUCCCUCCCUCUCCCCCUUGACAUCCACAAGUCUAUUCUCCAAGUCCAUGAGUUUCUUUUCUGUGGAAAAGUACAUUUGUGCCAUAUAUUAGAUUCCAGAUAUAAGUGAUAUCAUAUGGUAUUUGUCUUUCUCUUUCUGACAUUUCACUUAUAUGAGAGUCUCCAUUUCCAUCUAUGUUGCUGCAAAUGGCAUUAUUUUGUUCUUUUUUAUGGCCGAGUGGUAUUCCAUUGUGUAUAUAUACCACAACUUCUUAAUUCAUUCAUCUGUCAAUGGACAUUUAGGUUGUUUCCAACAAUCUUUUAAGUUGCAAGAAGUUUUGUCUCCCUAAAUGGCAUCCUGAAACUAGAAAGGGAUGGUAAUUAAAUCCCAAUGUUCUAAGAAUAAUCAUAUCACCUGAAACAUGGUGUCUCCAGGAAUAUCCUCAAGUAUUACAAAAAGUAUCUAUGCUAUUAUUGUAUUUGAUGACUGUCACAGACUGAAUGUUUGCACCCCGCACCCCCCAUUCCUAAAUUGAAAUCCUAACUCCAUUGUGAUGGUAUUAGGAGGUGGGCUUCUGGUAGGUCAUAUAAUGGGAUUAGUGCUCUUAUAAAAAGGGUUCAGGAGAAUGUUAUUGCCCCUUCUGCCAUUCAAGGACAUAGUGAGAAGACGGCAAAUGAACCAGGAAAAAGGUUCUCACCAAACAAUGAAUCUACUAGCAUGUUGAUCUUGGAGUUCCCAGCCUUGAGAACUAUGAGAAAUAAAUUUCUGUUGUUCAAGCCACCCAGUCUAUGAUAUUUUGUUAUAACAGCACAAAUGGACCAAGGCAAGAACAAAGUACUUCUACCCCUGAUGGUAAAAUAUAUAUAUAUAGAGAGAGAACAAAUUACUGAAUUCAUCAAAUUUGGAGUGAUCUUAAAUUUCAGAAAAAUGAAAAUAUUACAUUCAAAUGAUCCAAUAUUAGCCCAUAUUUUUCACUCAGACUAUUGUUUCAGACCUACUAAUAAUCAUAAAGCUAAUAUUAGGAAGAUCUUACAAAGUGUUUUAUGGACAUUCAAUCAUUUAUUUGACUCAACCAUCCUAUGUGAUAAGUACUACUAUCAUUCCACUUUACAGAUGAAGAAACUAAAGUUUAUUGAGGUUAAGAAUCAUGCAUAGUCAUACUGCAUCUCUGUUUACCUGCAGCUUAGUCAAUCUGGACAAAAUAACAGGGGUGGGAGAGGUAGGGGGAGGUAGAGGGAGUAUCAAGCUUGAUAUUUUGUUCUGUCUAAUGGCCAAGGAAAACACUGUGAAAUAUCUGAACAUUAACUUGCCCUAAGGCCACAAGCUUGUCUUCAGUACUGCCAAUAGUGUAAGAGAUACAUCUAAAGUCCUCGCUGAUAUUUCUUAUAUCACCCAGUUUAAUCACAUACAAAAUAAGUUAAUUGGAUCUAAGAUCUAUCUGAAUAUUUCUAAUUGUAGCAGGAUUGUAUAGGGAGAAUUAAGUAACAUAAGGAGUUGAUAGUUCUGUUUAAGUAAAAGUUGGAAAAAAUAUAUAACCUAAACAAUUCCAUUGAACUCUCAGUACAUGUUAAGAGUAAUGGUAUAAUGACACAUUAUUGAAAAAAUAAAAUAAUUUUAACUCACAUCCUCUAAUAUGAAGAAUUUCUGUUUUCUUUAGAUGAACUCUUAAUGCUUUCUUUCUCUCCACAAGGUAGAAAAUUUGAAGUUAAAGGCUAUGAGCAGUUACAUGCACUGGCUUAUUUACCAAUUCUUAGGUUUAGAUUAUAGGAGGUUUCUUAUAUUAGUUAAGAAUCUUCUAAAUUCUUUACAAACAUGGUUAUAGCAUCCCAGAAAACUGAUCCUGAAAGAGAUUCCUAUUUGUGAAAAUUUAUAAAAUAUUUCAUCAUGAGAACUAGGUGCAAAAGACAUGAAUUCCAAGGACUUACCACUUUUGGUAUUAAAGAGUUUACUUUUAGCUUAGUUCUAUUAUAUGGAAAUUGAUCUAAAAUGCUAUUUUAGGCAGAAAUUUGUCCUCAUCAUUAAACUUUUCAUGGUGAAUCCAGAUAACCAGUAUGAACAUUAACUACUGAAAUCCUCACAACAUACUAAGGGAGUUAAAAGUAAUCAUCAAUACACCAAAUAGCCGUAGGCUGUUCUGUAUCUUCAUCCUUCUAAUUUUUACAAACUUUAUAAUAACAUCCUUCCAGCUCAAGUUCACAGAAUCAGAUAUUUUUAAGUGAAUCAAUUUCAGGUGCUCAGCUUUCUUACUAAAACUGAUCGGAGAAUGCACCUGCAUUUGAGGAGUCAGGGGAUGACAAUUUCUGUUUAAAGACCUUGCCUUUUCAGAGUUCCCUGGUUGCCUAGCGGUAAAGGAUACAAUGCUGUGGCUCUGGAUCAUUCCCUGGCCUCAGAAUUUCAGCAUGCUACAAGUGUAGCCAAAAUGAAACAAACAAACAAAAAAAACCACCUUGCCUUUUCAUCUGCAAGCUACUGUCAAAGAAGACAUUGCUCCUGAGAAAAAAAUUCCCUAAGAGGCAAGCAAAGAGGGAAUCAAUAAGAAAUACCAACAGAGGGGUGCCUUAUUUCCCCAGGGGCAGGUUACUGCAAGCCUUCUCACCCUAUCUAGAAUUCUUUUUAGAUUGAGAAUUCAGAACUGAAAAGACAAGUCACUCAGAGGCUCAUGAGAAUUUAUUUGAAUACAAAAAUUCAACCCAAAAGAAAGUACGCUGCCCUAGCUGACUGAGUCAGCAUAUAAGUUUCUCAAAAUAAGUUAGAUAGGUAGACAUUUUUCAUAAGCUUAACAAGCUAAAUCUGUAGCUCCAAAGUUUUGAUGAGAUAUACUUAAAGCAUGAGAUAUACUUAAAACAUGAGAUCAGAUAAAAGAAUUUUGUCCAAAAAGAUCAUAUCAUAUCAACUGAAUUUUGGAAUAUUUUUAUUUCCCCAAUUCUGAGUGUAUCAAGUUCAACAUGGUGCCUCUAAGAAAAAGAGAAACAAGUGUAAUUAGUGGGUAUUUGAGAGCAUUUGGUACGUCUUUGGUGUACUUCCCAGAAACAGAGAAAGUGAAUGUCUCAGGUGACUGAUUAAGAAUCCUUUUGCAAGUCAGGGUUUCUUUUCGACAAAAUUGAAGGAGAACUAAUUAAGUCGUUAGAGGACGAAUCAUGCACAAUAAUUUGAUAAGAAAUCAUUAUGUGAUUUUUGGUAUAAAGUUGGUAAGGAGUUUUCUUCAAUGACAUAAAAAUCUCUCCAAUCUCAUCCACUUCCUUGUAUGAGAAAGAUUUCUCAAUGUUUAAAACUGGAAUUGUCGGAGUUUCUGUCGUGGCUCAGUGGUUAACAAAUCCAACUAGGAACCAUGAGGUUGAGGCUUCAAUCCCUGCCCUUACUCACUGGGUUAAGGAUCCAGCAUUGCCGUGAGCUGUGGUGUAGGUCACAGACGCAGCUCGGAUCCAGCGUUGCUAUGGCUCUGGUGUGGGCCGGCGACUACAGCUCUGAUUCAACCCCUAGCCUGGGAACCUCCAUACGCCGCCUCCACGGGAGGCCCAAGAAAUGGCAAAAAGACAAAAAAAUAAAAUAAAUAAAUAAAUAAAUAAAAUUGGAAUUGUGCUAAAUCCUAUCUUGUUCCUGAAAUAAAUAUAUGACUUAAUACAAAAACUAAUUUUUAAGAAAACAUGGUCUAUCUUCAUUAAUAGAUGAAGGUCCAAUAAACUUUUAUAUUUAGUGAUUAUUUAUCAAUAUUUAAUAUAAUUACAAUUUUGAUCAAUGUGUGCUAAUAAUAACAGCAAUAAAAACUCUGGAUGGACUUUUACAUCCAGAUGUAAUUUUUGGAUCCAGAUGUAAUUUUUGAAAUUUAGAGGAUUAUGGAUUCAGGAAAUUAUUUUUAUUUUAAGAUUCUGAGACUAUACAAUGAGCAAUAAAAAUUUUAAGCAUAUUUCAUUGAUAAGAUUUUAUAAGGUAAGUGAACAAAAAUAUGAAUUAAAAGAGAAAAAAGACUGGUGCAGAGUUUUCAACCAAUAAAAAACUUGCUUUUAUAUUUCAAAUACAUAAUGGUGAGAAUCAAAUUAUUAUAAUAUUGUAGAAUCUAAAUGGAUAUAUUUUAAAAUGAUUUAGAUUCUUAAUUUCAAAAUGUCAAUAUUUACAACAUACCAGAAAUUAUGAAAAAAAACUUGAGUUCUAUAAUUAUUCCAAAAAUCUUUCAAGGUAUAGGGAACAAAGAAAUUAGAACUUCCUUGUUUACUUCUCGUGCCUUCUCAUUAUUUAUGGAAUUAGAAAGUAAGCUUUCCUAGCCCAACUUUCACAUUUGCUCUUUGAUCCGUUGUUCCCUUAGAAAUUGAGGUCUCCAAAUCAUGGAAAUGUAGACAUGAUGAAAAACUGCCCAAACAAAUAUGUCACUAAUCAUUUGCUUUACCAUAAAACUCAUGAUAAGUUUCUUUUAAGUAACAAUCUGCUCUAGUGUUUCUGAACUAUGGCUCUAUGACUAAAAAUUCAUCACUGCAUUCUAUUUGCUGGCUCUUCACUUUUUAAGUCUUAAAUUAAAAAUAUGAUGCUUUGAUUCUGUAGCAGAUCUUCAAGAAUAAUCCCUUCUUAAGUGUCUUCACAAAUAUGUUAUGGAGUUUAGCAUGACAGCAGAAAGUAAACAGGUGAGAAGGGAGAAAGGAAAAGAGGAGAAGAUGAAAUGGUAUGAUGAUACCAAAGAAGAGGGUGGGUAACUCUAAGCAUCCAGACCUUUUCAAAAGUGGCAUCACUAAAUUUUAUCACUAAUUCACAAUAGGAUUAAAAUGCAAAUCAUUUUUAUUUAAGAGCAAAGCUAAGUAUCAGUUUAAUAUAAUUCUUGUCUCUGGAGCAAUACCAGCCAGAUUUCUUUCAUAGUUUUCUCUCUGAGACAAGAAAUGCCUAAUGAAACAAGGUACGGAGUAUUUCUUAAGAUUUGCUGAUCCUUAUAAGUCCCUUGACCUCUCUAUGGUACUCCAUUCUUUUACCUAUAAAAUGAGAAGGUGGCCCUAAACCAAUAAUUUGGGGAAGGGUAAGGUGGGUAAAUGAGAAGGGACAUGUCCCAAGGGAUGAAUUUUUUAGACAGAGAGGAUUUUGUUCUUUCCUUCAAAAGGAACAAAAGGCUGCCAUCACAAUCUAGCUUUAAUUUUAAGGUCGCUUCCAACAAUGAGAUGCUAUAUUCCUGAACUAUGACUAGAAAACAUUGAUAUUUCUUUGUUCCUCUUCUCCCCUGUCCUUUGUUCCUGGCAAGCAUCACUAUUUACUCCUUGUUGCUUAGAUGAGGUGUGUGCCUGGGAGGAGGAGGGAAUAAAAGAUGUAACUAGAGACCAAUUUUCAGCCCCUCUGAGGCUCAAUCUGUAGUACUACGUUUUUAUGACUUCACAACCCUCCCAGCUUAAGAAAAAAAUUAUGAGGAAUUUUAAAAGAUCCCUUUUUCUCUCAUCUUGAAGCCUGUUAAAUGAUAUUUGUAAAAAGAAGGUACAAAAUAAGAGGUUGCCAAAUAAGUUACUUUUUCUAAAUCAGAGAAGUUCAAAGAUAAAAUGGGGCCUGUCUUGGUGGUCAGCUGUCAGAGUGAAAUUUAAUUUAGCAAUGACAAUAGACAAAGUAUGUCAGACUAAGUGCUUGAUCAAGAAUCUGAAAACUUUUCAAUAAAACAGCCUUGAUGUCAGUUAGGGCAGACAACACCAGGUAGAGAACGACUAUGCUGAAAAUAAAUUAAGAAAAUGUCUUGCAGGAUCAAGGGAAAAAAUUCUUUAUUAUCUUCCCAACUCAUCUUCCUCUAUGUAACUUUCAGAGACUCUUCAUUUUAGGAGGUUUUCCAGCCAUAGUGAUGGGUUGAUGGAGAUGUCGUGUUCCUGGAUCUAGUGACUUCUUGUCAAGGCUCCAAAGCCCAGAGUCACUCCUAUUUAGAAAAUCUCCUAUAUCCUUUUGGAUUACGCUUGAUCUCUUUUUAUCUAAUUAAUUACAUCUCAGGAACCAUGAAGUAAUUACAUUAAGAGCUUGGAGGCAUGCCUUCAGGAAUGUCACUGUGGCUUUCUGUUUGUUUGCUUUAAAGCAAACCAGCACUUUGGAACUUGGUUCAGAUUAGCAAUUUUGUGCUUUCAGUUAGAUACCAAGCAAUGGUUCUACUCCUGGUUACUAAAAUAAGAAAGCAGGUAAAGGACAUAAAGGAAUGUGACUCAAUCUCUCUCUUCCCUUUGUAUUCUACUUUAGCAUAAUGACUUUAGACCUCUGGACUUCAGUUGGGAGCACAGAGGCUAUUGGCAAACUUUACUUGUUUACCUGAGGGUCAAGUGGGAUGAAAAGCAGAAUAGGAAGACAGAACUUUCCAAGGACUGGCCCUGGUAAAAGCACAGAGAAACAAUACAGAUCAGCAAAGGGACUUUUUUUUUUUUCCCUUUUCUUCCUUUUUAAAAAAUAUUGUCAAUCUAGUAAGUGCUGAAGACUAUUUGCUAAGCUGUUCAAAGACAUAACUAUUCUGAGAUUACUCCUUCACUUGUCUACUCUCAUAGGCCUCUGUGAACAUCUGUGCCAUGUGUACAGGCCUCUUCCAAACAAAAGGAAGAGGUCUGAAGAGGAUAUGCUUUCAGAAAAGCUGUAAAUACAUUUAAGAAAUUCUCUGAAAGUUCAUCAGCUACCUGAUUUCCUAGGCAAGGCUUCUUAUCACAUUAACCAUGAUUUAAGAUGGAAGUGGGGGGAUAGAAUAAAGAUAGAGGAAUAAGAAGGGGAGGAAAAGGGAAGGUAAUGAAUGAUUAAUGAAAAUCUGGUGAUUAAUGGAAAAAAGAUUUUAAGAAAUAAUAAAGCAUUUAUCCCUAGGGUAGAAAACAGGAAAAAACAAAAAUGAGUACCAAAUUGAAACUGGCAAAACACUGAAAGAAGAGAGUAGAACAAAGAAACAGAGUAGGACAAAGAAAUGCUCCUUUCAGUAUAAGAUUGUUGAAAAGACACACAGGAUUUGAAAACUUACCAUUUAGGAGAUAUUUGCUUAAACAAAAAUAAAUUUAUAUUUGCCUGAUUUCCUGAAAGUUACCGAUAAUGGGCCAUUUAUGGAUAAGAGCCUGCAGAUAUUCAGGUAUACAGAAGCCAGACUUUGUGUCUGUUGAACGUUUCUUUCUCUUCAAAAUCUGACACAGCAUCAGAGUGCAUGAGAACCCUCAGCUGCAUGGAUCCAUCACCAAUGAAUGAGAACCUGGCUUUUCAGAUGCACACUUUUUAGUGAGCACACUGGGCUCUCCAGAGCAGCAUGUAUGUGAAUUACCUAUGUGUGGGCACAGCCUAAGGGAAAACUCAUAUGAGGCACAGAGGCAAUUUAUAAACACAAGCUGUACAUUGAUAAGGAGACAGAAGUAUAUCACAAAGGGUGUAGAUGCCCAGGUUUUUCCACAAAAGCUGACCUUCACACAUGCAAGGGAAAAAUACCACAAAAACAUUCCUAUUGCAAGACGAGCAAUGACUGAAAAUAAGAAUGUGUGUACUUUACUUAUUUUGAAUGUUAGUUAAAGGAAAACAGGUUUAAUUGGAAGACAAGUUGAGCUGAUGAUAACAGUUAUGGAGAUUCUUCAGGGAGCUUCUGGACACAUGCAAGAGCCAUGAAGGCUGGCGACAUAUGUUUUGAAAAAAUUAGGCCUUAUUUCCCAUGACAGUUUUUUUUUUUUUUCCUUUUCUAUGAAUUUGGUGUAUUACCCAUACAGCUUGUACUCCCAUUACCCAUGAUUAGGAACACAUUAGGCUCACAUUAGGUUCCCUGAAGACAGAAUCCAAGAUUCUUUCAAUUUUGUAAUUUUGGUAUCUAGUUUGCUUCACAGAUUUCUCUGAAGUGAUCAAAUGAAUGAGUAUGUGAACUAAUGAAUGACUUGUUAAAACAGUAUUGCGAAGAAUUUUGUAAUGGAGGGAGGGGCAUCAUUUUCUACAAAGGCAUCAAUUUGUUCUAUUACAUCUCCUAAAUCACAAGAACUACUGAUCUGAUACUGAAAAGGAAUACCUGCCUCAGGCAGAAGUGACUGGAAAAAAAAAAAAAAAAAAAAAGUA
This 8214-nucleotide long non-coding RNA is filed under the name Sus scrofa (pig). RNAcentral's name for it is "lncRNA (ENSSSCG00015046362.1)". Lineage: Eukaryota; Metazoa; Chordata; Mammalia; Artiodactyla; Suidae. The record is from RNAcentral.